GUCGAGAAUCUUUCACAAUGGGGGCAACCCUGAUGGAGCGACGCCGCGUGGAGGAUAAGGUCUUCGGAUUGUAAACUCCUGUCAUGCGUGAACAAGGUUGCUUGGUUAAUACCUGGGCAAAUUGAUGGUAACGCAAGAGGAAGAGACGGCUAACUCUGUGCCAGCAGCCGCGGUAAUACAGAGGUCUCAAGCGUUGUUCGGAAUCACUGGGCGUAAAGGGUGCGUAGGUGGCGUGGUAAGUCAGAUGUGAAAGCCCGGGGCUCAACCUCGGAACUGCAUCCGAUACUGCCAUGCUAGAGUACUGGAGAGGUGACUAGAAUUCUCGGUGUAGCAGUGAAAUGCGUAGAUAUCGAGAGGAAUACCAAAGGCGUAGGCAGGUCACUGGACAGUUACUGACACUGAGGCACGAAGGCCAGGGGAGCGAACGGGAUUAGAAACCCCAGUAGUCU
This 449-nucleotide ribosomal RNA is filed under the name uncultured bacterium. RNAcentral's name for it is "partial 16S ribosomal RNA". It matches the Rfam family "Bacterial small subunit ribosomal RNA", at positions 354 to 796 of the family's 1533-position model. The record is from RNAcentral.